Molecule: ribosomal RNA, 478 nt
Filed under: uncultured bacterium
Lineage: Bacteria
Description: partial 16S ribosomal RNA
Rfam family: Bacterial small subunit ribosomal RNA
Source: RNAcentral
GAUGAACGCUGGCGGCGUGCUUAACACAUGCAAGUCGAACGGGAAACUUUUCAUUGACGCUUCGGCAGAUUUGGUCUGUUUCUAGUGGCGGACGGGUGAGUAACGCGUGGGUAACCUGCCUUAUACAGGGGGAUAACAACCAGAAAUGGUUGCUAAUACCGCAUAAGCGCACAGGACCGCAUGGUCCGGUGUGAAAAACUCCGGUGGUAUAAGAUGGACCCGCGUUGGAUUAGCUAGUUGGCAGGGUAACGGCCUACCAAGGCGACGAUCCAUAGCCGGCCUGAGAGGGUGAACGGCCACAUUGGGACUGAGACACGGCCCAGACUCCUACGGGAGGCAGCAGUGGGGAAUAUUGCACAAUGGGGGAAACCCUGAUGCAGCGACGCCGCGUGAAGGAAGAAGUAUCUCGGUAUGUAAACUUCUAUCAGCAGGGAAGAUAGUGACGGUACCUGACUAAGAAGCCCCGGCUAACUACGUG